Molecule: non-coding RNA, 98 nt
Filed under: Enterococcus faecium
Lineage: Bacteria; Bacillati; Bacillota; Bacilli; Lactobacillales; Enterococcaceae
Also listed under: 1 other name
Description: Guanine sequence
Rfam family: Purine riboswitch aptamer
About the family: Riboswitches are metabolite binding domains within certain messenger RNAs that serve as precision sensors for their corresponding targets.
Source: RNAcentral
UAUUAGUUUUACAUACCUACUUAUAUAUCGUCAUAAUAUGGAUGACAGUUUCUAGCCAGUACCGUAAAUGCUGGACUAUAAGUAAAAGAUUGGCUAUU